Long non-coding RNA from Neopsephotus bourkii (Bourke's parrot), 473 nucleotides. RefSeq lists it as uncharacterized. NCBI's taxonomy places the organism in Eukaryota, Metazoa, Chordata, Aves, Psittaciformes, Psittacidae. The transcript has 3 exons. The record is from RefSeq and is a predicted model, not a curated record.
GGAAUUGGUAUUUGAGGAGGUUAAAAGAGAAUCAGCAACAGAAAAUAAGGUUCAGUGAUCAUGCAGAAGGCAGACACAGUUCAAGCUGUCCUACCAAUAAAGCAGUCCACUACCAAAGACUUCAUUAGAACACCUCUUACACCCAUAAUGGUUAUUUUGCAUUGCCAUGUAAGAAGCCAGCAAAAGUAAUUUCAGCUCUUAAGCUACCAAUAUAUUUUUUGCUGUGCAUACCUGAGCUUACAAACCCCAGUGAAGCCAAAGGAAAGACUCACUCUUACAGUAGUUUUUAUAUGGAUGCUAUUAAAGGACCUAUGAAGAGGAAGAAGCCCAAGAUAGUUAUGAAAAGAUGUGUCCGUAACAGAAUGACAAACAAAGAACUGGAAAAAGGAUAAAACCUUGAGGGCUUUUGUUGCCAAUUUUUGUUUUAUGGAUUUGGUUUGGGGGUUUUGCUGUUUGUUUUUUUCUCCCCUCAU